UACAGAGGUCUCAAGCGUUGUUCGGAUUCAUUGGGCGUAAAGGGUGCGUAGGCGGCGCGGUAAGUCGGGUGUGAAAUCUCGGAGCUUAACUCCGAAACUGCAUUCGAUACUGCCGUGCUUGAGGACUGGAGAGGAGACUGGAAUUUACGGUGUAGCGGUGAAAUGCGUAGAUAUCGUAAGGAAGACCAGUGGCGAAGGCGGCGCUCUGGGCCGGUACUGACGCUGAGGAGCGAAAGCGUGGGGAGCAAACAGG
Molecule: ribosomal RNA, 253 nt
Filed under: uncultured bacterium
Lineage: Bacteria
Description: partial 16S ribosomal RNA
Rfam family: Bacterial small subunit ribosomal RNA
Source: RNAcentral